AUUGAACGCUGGCGGCAGGCCUAACACAUGCAAGUCGAGCGAGCGGCGGACGGGGGAGUAAUGUCUGGGGAACUGCCUGAUGGAGGGGGGUAACUACUGGAAACGGUAGCUAAUACCGCAUACCAUCAGAUGUGCCCAGAUGGGAUUAGCUAGUAGGUGGGGUAACGGCGCACCUAGGCGACGCGCCCUAGCUGGUCUGAGAGGGUGACCAGCCACACUGGAACUGAGACACGGUCCAGACUCCUACGGGAUGCAGCAGGGGGGAAUAUUGCACAAUGGGCGCAAGCCUGAUGCAGCCAUGCCGCGUGUGUGAAGAAGGCCUUCGGGUUGUAAAGCACUUUCAGCGGGGAGGCGUUACCCGCAGAAGAAGCACCGGCUAACUCCGUGCCAGCAGCCGCGGUAAUUC
RNAcentral lists this ribosomal RNA (406 nucleotides) under uncultured bacterium. RNAcentral describes it as "partial 16S ribosomal RNA". It matches the Rfam family "Bacterial small subunit ribosomal RNA", at positions 29 to 526 of the family's 1533-position model. The record is from RNAcentral.